GGCCUAUUGAGUAUAAUUUUAGGUCGAUCUGCUCCAUGAAAUAAAUUUAAAUAGCUGCAGUAUAUUGACUGUACAAAGGUAGCAUAAUAAAUUGUCUUUUAAUUGAAGAAUUGAAUGAAUGAAUUGAUGAAAUAACAACUGUCUCUAUUUUAUUUAAUGAAUUUAAGUUUUUAGUAAAAAUUCUGAAAUUUAAUUAUGGGACGAUAAGACCCUAUAGAAUUUUAUUUAAUAUAAUUAUUUAUUUAAAUUAUUUGUGAAUAUAUAAUUAAUUUAAAUUUGAUUGGGAGGAUUGGUAAAUAAAAAUAACUUUAUCUAAAAAUUAAUUUUGAUGAAAAGAUUUUUUUUGACUUAUAAUUUAUGAUUAAAAGAAUAAAUUACCUUAGGGAUAACAGCGUAAUAUCUUUUGAUAGACCACAUUGAUAAAGAUGUUUGCGACCUCGAUGUUGAAUUAAGAGAAAAGUUAAACGCAGGAGUUUAAAAUUUUAAGUCUGUUCGACUUUUAAAAUCUU
Molecule: ribosomal RNA, 509 nt
Filed under: Apis cerana (Asiatic honeybee)
Lineage: Eukaryota; Metazoa; Arthropoda; Insecta; Hymenoptera; Apidae
Description: partial large subunit ribosomal RNA
Rfam family: Bacterial large subunit ribosomal RNA (bases 385-509)
Source: RNAcentral